GGGCAGCAACCGGCGCUGGCUUUGCAGCCAGACCUGGUACAGAUCGUCCUGUAACUGACUGCCAAUGCGUAAGUCAUUGAUCAGAAUAUACGCUCCGGCAGGCAACGCCUGCUGAUGAAGGCGAAUAUGGCAGUUAGCGUCAACCUGGGCUAUCGCCAGCGUAUGGUCGCAGAGGCUCACCAGCUGCCGUGUCAGCGGUGACGCGCCGUAGGGCAAGUCCAGUAAAAUCCAGCUAUAACGCCCGCUCGCUUUCAGCGCCUGGAUAGCCGAUCCGAUCUCUCCCAGCGUCUCCUGCCAGGCCUGCGGAUUUUCCCGCUCUUGCGCGGUGAGCUGUC
RNAcentral lists this unclassified non-coding RNA (335 nucleotides) under uncultured fungus. Its description in RNAcentral is "partial internal transcribed spacer 1". Lineage: Eukaryota; Fungi. The record is from RNAcentral.